RNAcentral lists this ribosomal RNA (427 nucleotides) under uncultured bacterium. Its description in RNAcentral is "bacterial SSU rRNA". It matches the Rfam family "Bacterial small subunit ribosomal RNA", at positions 355 to 774 of the family's 1533-position model. The record is from RNAcentral.
UGGGGAAUAUUGGACAAUGGGGGCAACCCUGAUCCAGCAAUACCGCGUGUGUGAAGAAGGCCUGAGGGUUGUAAAGCACUUUCAGUGAGGAGAAAGGUAGGUAUGCUAAUACCAUACUUAAUUGAUGUUACUCACAGAAGAAGCACCGGCUAACUCCGUGCCAGCAGCCGCGGUAAUACGGAGGGUGCGAGCGUUAAUCGGAAUUACUGGGCGUAAAGCGUGCGUAGGUGGUUAAAUAAGUUAGAUGUGAAAUCCAUGGGCUUAACCUGUGAAUUGCGUUUAAAACUGUUUGACUAGAGUGUUGUAGAGGGUGGCGGAAUUUCCAGUGUAGCGGUGAAAUGCGUAGAUAUUGGAAGGAACACCAGUGGCGAAGGCGGCCACCUGGACAAACACUGACACUGAGGUACGAAAGCGUGGGGAGCAAACA